RNA transcript from Bombus pyrosoma, 839 nucleotides. It is a transcript of the gene named flexible cuticle protein 12-like, with no coding region annotated. The record is from RefSeq and is a predicted model, not a curated record. Lineage: Eukaryota; Metazoa; Arthropoda; Insecta; Hymenoptera; Apidae. The transcript has 2 exons.
ACGCGGUUUCCGACACACGGUAUCAGUGGACGUCGAUAAUAUGCUCGUGCCAGAUGCACAAUUACAUCACAAUAAUCUUUCUGUACCGACAACAACAUGGAAAACGGGGGACCUAGUUCGUGAUGAAAUAAUUUGAAGGUUGUAAGCAAGAGGUGGAGAAAUAGGAGGAGCGAUUAACACUUGUGGUUGAUCGAAACGCCUAUCACGCAGUACUCGAUGUUGAUAUUUCCACGUGAACGGGACGAACUGGUGUUUUUCUUGGCGAUGUCGACGUAUCGAUGUUUCAGGUUUGAAUAUGAUUUAUCUAGUAGUGGCCUUUGAACAGAGCUAACCGCCAUCGCGCCAGUGAAGAAAAUUCACUUCAAUGACGGUGACUAUCGUAGAACAGGUUUAUUGAUGGCGUUGUAUAAAUAUUAAUUGAAUGAAGUAAUGCAGUGAUACGGAAGAUAUCUUGUUCGGUUUUUAUUUAAGGAAAUUUGUCAGACGCGUAACCUGUUUAUUUUUUGUUAAUAUGUUUUAUCAGCUUCCUUCUACCACUAAAAAGAGAACUUGCAAGUAAAAAACGUGUCAAGUUAAACAAGUGGCAAGAAAAUGAUUUAUGUGAGUAAUUUACAAGGGAUUAAAGUGAGAUACCGAAGCUUCCUAGUUUUAUCUGAAUUUAAUUAUUAAAAAAACAAGUGCUGUGUUUCAACAUAACAUCUUUGAUCCUUAAUAAGAACGAAAUAGUAAAAUAUCUUUUAAAAGGAUCUUCUUCAAUUAAUCUAGUUACAGUUAAGCAACGGCAUCUCUGUAAUUGACAUCUGUUACGAACAAUAUGCCUAUUUAUAAUAAUGUAAAUA